CCUACGGGCGGCAGCAGUGGGGAAUAUUGCACAAUGGGGGAAACCCUGAUGCAGCGACGCCGCGUGAGUGAAGAAGUAUUUCGUUACGUAAAGCUCUAUCAGCAGGGAAGAAACACUGACCUUCCGGUCAGCAGACGGUACCUGAGUACGAACCACCAGCUACCUACGUCCCAGCAGCCGCGGGAAUACGGUGGGGGCCAGCGUUAUCCGGAUUUAUUGGGGGUAAAGGGAGCGUAGACGGGGCGCGAAGUCUGGAGUGAAAGGCCGCAGCCUAACAGCGGAACUGCUUUGGAAACUGGCGAACUAGAGUGCAGGAGAGGUAAGCGGAAGUCCUAGUGUAGCGGUGAAAUGCGUAGAUAUUAGGAGGAACACCGGUGGCGAAGGCGGCUUACUGGACCGUAACUGACGUUGAGGCUCGAAAGCGUGGAGAGCAAACAGGAUUAGAUACCCUGGUAGUC
This 458-nucleotide ribosomal RNA is filed under the name uncultured bacterium. RNAcentral describes it as "partial 16S ribosomal RNA". It matches the Rfam family "Bacterial small subunit ribosomal RNA", at positions 338 to 795 of the family's 1533-position model. The record is from RNAcentral.